RNAcentral lists this ribosomal RNA (468 nucleotides) under uncultured bacterium. RNAcentral describes it as "bacterial SSU rRNA". It matches the Rfam family "Bacterial small subunit ribosomal RNA", at positions 335 to 798 of the family's 1533-position model. The record is from RNAcentral.
ACUCCUACGGGAGGCAGCAGUGAGGAAUAUUGGACAAUGGACGCAAGUCUGAUCCAGCCAUGCCGCGUGCAGGAAGACUGCCCUAUGGGUUGUAACUGCUUUUAUUUGGGAAUAAACCCCUCUACGUGUAGAGGGCUGAAGGUACCAAAUGAAUAAGCACCGGCUAACUCCGUGCCAGCAGCCGCGGUAAUACGGAGGGUGCAAGCGUUAAUCGGAAUUACUGGGCGUAAAGCGUGCGUAGGCGGUUGCGUGUGUCGGAUGUGAAAGCCCCGGGCUCAACCUGGGAAUUGCAUUCGAAACUGCGUGACUAGAAUGUGGUAGAGGAAGACGGAAUUCCACGUGUAGCGGUGAAAUGCGUAGAUAUGUGGAGGAACACCAAUGGCGAAGGCAGUCUUCUGGGCCAACAUUGACGCUGAGGUACGAAAGCGUGGGUAGCAAACAGGAUUAGAUACCCUGGUAGGAUACCGU